Cavia aperea (Brazilian guinea pig) is the source of this 84-nucleotide small nucleolar RNA. Lineage: Eukaryota; Metazoa; Chordata; Mammalia; Rodentia; Caviidae. The record is from Ensembl.
AGUCAAUGAGGUACUGGCAGUAAUAACUGAAUUUACUACUAAUGUGUAAUAAUACCUUAACUCUUAGAAUUAUGUUGAGGCCUU